Molecule: ribosomal RNA, 642 nt
Filed under: Triticum aestivum (bread wheat)
Lineage: Eukaryota; Viridiplantae; Streptophyta; Magnoliopsida; Poales; Poaceae
Description: partial small subunit ribosomal RNA
Source: RNAcentral
AUGUCUGACGAUGACCGCGCCAGGUGGCGCCUCGAGCCGUCUGGUCAAUUCUCCACCAAAUCUCUCUAUCUGGCCAUCGCCCCCUCGCUCGGCCAUGAGGCUCUUUCCUCCAUUUGGGAGAUUCGCCUCCCCCUGAAAAUUAGGAUCUUCCUAUGGCAGUGGAUUCGCGGCCGCCUUCCUUCCGACGUUGAGUUUUUGAAGCGCAAUGGCCCUGGUGAUGGGCGUUGCCCGCUCUGUGGGCCUGAAGAAGAUUUGAACCAUAUCUUCUUCACCUACGUGUCUGCGCAGUUCCUUUGGAGCUGUUUCCGCGAGAUUGUGGGUGGAAGCUGGGUUCAUACCAACUUCCCCGCUCUCUUUGUCGAACUCCAGGCAAUCCCCCCCGCGUUACGCCACAUUAGGUGGCUGACCAUUGGGGUCCUUGCCUGGACGCUGUGGACUGUUAGGAAUAAACUUGUGAUUCGGCGUAUCCCUCUUUGUCGCGCUACUGACGCUUUGUUCAAAUGGUCUGGUUACUUGCAGCUUUUGCGGCCGCUUAGCCGCCCCAGGGAGAGAGACGCCAUCACCUCCAUCAUCACACAGCUUCGCGCGAUGGCUCUCCGGAUGGCUCCACCGCUCCCACCUCCACCACCUGAGCCAGAUUAG